CUUGCAUUGGUCAUCGUCACUCUAUGGCAAUCCAUCUCCGUCAACUUAUGCGUAUUCUUUGGAGUCGUCAUUCAUUCUGGCUUCAUCGCAACAUACAUGUGGCUCACCAUCAUGUGCUUCGAUGUGUGGCGUUAUGUUCGGCUUAGCGUGAAAGGCAUCCCUAG
Hyalella azteca is the source of this 164-nucleotide long non-coding RNA. RefSeq lists it as uncharacterized. The transcript has 3 exons. The record is from RefSeq and is a predicted model, not a curated record. Lineage: Eukaryota; Metazoa; Arthropoda; Malacostraca; Amphipoda; Hyalellidae.